This 460-nucleotide ribosomal RNA is filed under the name uncultured bacterium. RNAcentral's name for it is "partial 16S ribosomal RNA". It matches the Rfam family "Bacterial small subunit ribosomal RNA", at positions 338 to 795 of the family's 1533-position model. The record is from RNAcentral.
CCUACGGGAGGCUGCAGUGAGGAAUAUUGGUCAAUGGACGAGAGUCUGAACCAGCCAAGUCGCGUGAAGGAUGACUGCCCUAUGGGUUGUAAACUUCUUUUAUAUGGGAAUAAAAUGUUCCACGUGUGGGAUUUUGUAUGUACCAUAUGAAUAAGGCUCGGCUAACUCCGUGCCAGCAGCCGCGGUAAUACGGAGGAUCCGAGCGUUAUCCGGAUUUAUUGGGUUUAAAGGGAGCGUAGGUGGAAUGUUAAGUCAGUUGUGAAAGUUUGCGGCUCAACCGUAAAAUUGCAGUUGAAACUGGCAGUCUUGAGUACAGUAGAGGUGGGCGGAAUUCGUGGUGUAGCGGUGAAAUACUUAGAUAUCACGAAGAACUCCGAUUGCGAAGGCAGUUCACUGGACUGCAACUGACACUGAGGCUCGAAAGUGUGGGUAUCAAACAGGAUUAGAUACCCCUGUAGUC